This 429-nucleotide ribosomal RNA is filed under the name Pseudomonadota bacterium. Its description in RNAcentral is "Proteobacteria bacterium partial 16S ribosomal RNA". It matches the Rfam family "Bacterial small subunit ribosomal RNA", at positions 355 to 776 of the family's 1533-position model. The record is from RNAcentral. Lineage: Bacteria; Pseudomonadati; Pseudomonadota.
UUGGGAAUAUUGGACAAUGGGCGAAAGCCUGAUCCAGCCAUGCCGCGUGUGUGAAGAAGGUCUUCGGAUUGUAAAGCACUUUAAGUUGGGAGGAAGGGCAGUAAGCGAAUACCUUGCUGUUUUGACGUUACCGACAGAAUAAGCACCGGCUAACUCUGUGCCAGCAGCCGCGGUAAUACAGAGGGUGCGAGCGUUAAUCGGAUUUACUGGGCGUAAAGCGUGCGUAGGCGGCUAAUUGAGUCGGAUGUGAAAUCCCCGAGCUUAACUUGGGAAUUGCAUUCGAUACUGGUUAGCUAGAGUGUGGGAGAGGAUGGUAGAAUUCCAGGUGUAGCGGUGAAAUGCGUAGAGAUCUGGAGGAAUACCGAUGGCGAAGGCAGCCAUCUGGCCUAACACUGACGCUGAGGUACGAAAGCAUGGGGAGCAAACAGG